This 435-nucleotide ribosomal RNA is filed under the name Elysia atroviridis. RNAcentral describes it as "partial 16S rRNA". It matches the Rfam family "Bacterial large subunit ribosomal RNA", at positions 1829 to 2597 of the family's 2925-position model. The record is from RNAcentral. Lineage: Eukaryota; Metazoa; Mollusca; Gastropoda; Plakobranchidae.
AGCCUUAAGAUUAUAUUUAAGGUAAUGCCUGCCCAGUGCUAAAGUGUUAACGGCCGCAGUACCUUGACUGUGCUAAGGUAGCAUAAUCAGUUGGCUUUUAAAUGGAGUCGGGAAUGAAUGGAUUUAUAGGGUAAAGCUGUCUCUUUUAUAUUUUAUUGAAUUUAAUUAUUAGGUGAAAAUACCUAAAAUUAAGAAAAAAGACGAGAAGACCCUAGGAGUUUUUACUAAUGGUCAAUUUAAGUUGGCUUCUGGUUUUUGUUGGGGCGACAUAGGAACAAACAACUUCCUUACUUUAUAGGCCGACUACGUAUGAAUAAUAAAACUACCCUAGGGAUAACAGCGUAAUUCUUUAUGGAGCUUGCGACCUCGAUGUUGGACUAGGAAUUUGAUUGGCUAGCCGCCACUUUAUAUUGUUCUGUUCGAACUUAAUUUCCU